RNAcentral lists this long non-coding RNA (250 nucleotides) under Elaeis guineensis (African oil palm). Its description in RNAcentral is "long non-coding RNA (EGUI_LNC016608)". The record is from RNAcentral. Lineage: Eukaryota; Viridiplantae; Streptophyta; Magnoliopsida; Arecales; Arecaceae.
GCCACAUUAGAGAAGUUUUUCAGCUUUAUGGUGAUGAAGUGAGGCAUUGAGGCCAACCCUGAGAAAAUCAAGGGGGUCCUUGACAUGAAACCUCCAACUUCUCGACAGAAUAUCCAGAGAUUGGUAGGAUGCAUUACAUCCUUAAGCCGAUUCAUCUUCAAGUCCGCAGAGUGAUGCCUUCCCUUCUUCAAGACCCUUAGGCAGAUGAAGGACUUCACCUAGAUGGAAGAAUGUCAAAAAUUCUUUGAUG